This 2641-nucleotide long non-coding RNA is filed under the name Macaca mulatta (Rhesus monkey). RNAcentral describes it as "lncRNA (ENSMMUG00000065306.1)". The record is from RNAcentral. Lineage: Eukaryota; Metazoa; Chordata; Mammalia; Primates; Cercopithecidae.
UGUGUUUGAUUGCGUGGUAACACUAAAUAUCUGGCUCUGGCCUCACCCUGGGGGUUGAGGGCUGGACUGUAGAUCUUCCUCAACAUCUCUGCUCCCCUCAGGGAUGUACUUUUCCCCCUUUCCCCAGAAUCCACAGUGAGUGGCAGCCGGCACGAGUGUCCACAAACCUGUUGGGACAGGGCAGGCAGCUUGUUUGCUCUUCCCAGGGCCAAGCCUGGUGGGCUGGACCCAGAAGUAUUGUGUUACUCAGCCAAAGAAUUCCUUUCCUCACCUACCUCCAUUUAUAAAGGGGAAACAAAACCCUGAGCGGUAUGCUUUCGUGGAGCGAAGCCAGGUCCUCAAGUGUCAUCUCUGGGGAGCUGCUUCCUCCCCAGGGCAGGGUGCGGCCUCCUGGGGAAACAAGAGCCCUUCUUUCUCCUUCCCACCCAUGGUGGUGGUGGUGGUGUCCCCACUUACCCUCAACAGACCUUGGAUUCUCUGUCACUACCCCCGAGUGCUUUCCUUAUCCCAGGUCCCAGCCCUUGAGAAUGGGGCAGGGCUUGUGGCUUCCCUGGGCCCAGUGGAGAACGGGACAGGGUUGCUGGGUGUCUGUCUCAGUUCCGGCUGGUGCUGGUGCACUCUGGCCAACAGAACCACCAAACACAUCAUCUGUUUGCUUUGAGAACUUGAGAUGGAUUUUAAAUCUUCCAGGGCACGUACUGCUACACUUCAGAGUUCUGGCCAGAACCAGGCAGCCCUGGGGAAGCCUGCACCAGUGCUGGGACGGCCCUUCCGAGUUGUGUCUUGCUGGAGAGUCCCAGGGCCAGCACAAAUCAUGAAAUACACCUGGUGAAACUCCUGAGUCACUGGAGGGCUUGAAGUUUCAGGAAGAGGAAGAGGAGGAGGUUCCUGUGUGGCAUCUUCAGAAAGAAGGAGGUUUGGCAAGUAUUAGCUCGAUCACUUGACAAACUCCUUUCACUUUACUCCUUUGAGCCUUUAGCUUAAGGGGAACAGGGCAUUGGUCAGUAAUUGAUUAAACUACCAGCAUCCCCAAUAUAUGGUUUUUGGGAGGCUCUGGCCCCUUGUGGGCUUUUAAAUGCUGCACAGAGAAGAAAUGAGGCUGAGAGCUUUGAGUCCUGGACAGGCAGAGUGUGUGCCAGGUCAUAGGGUCACUGGAUCACUAUUCCUUGGGAGAACCAUAGGAAUGCAAUUGUUUCUGGGUGUGGAGCGUUCAUGAAGCCAAGCUCCCUGUUGUGUGUGGGAAAUGAUGGUUAUGUGUUUAGCUAGACAAAGGAUGUUCCAUGCUACUCUUAAGCUGGAGGCUUUUGUUUUUCUUGGUAAUCAGGGCAUUCUAGGGGCAUUCCAAUGAAGAAUACUUGAAAGGGGAUAGAUAGAAAAGGAGAUCUUGAGAAAAAAGGAAGGACUAGUGUUUGGUUGUCUAGGGUUGUGCUUCCAAAAUCCCAAAGCAAUGUCACCUGAAUUUUUUUUUUAAACACCUCCAAACCAGCCAGCCAACCAACCAACCAAGCAACCAAGCAACCAAGAACCAAGCAACCAAGCAACCAAGCAACUAAGCAACCAAGCAACCAAGCAACAGAGUCAUGGCCACUCCAUAUCUACUGAAUCAGGUUCUCUAGAGGUGGGGCCCAAUGACUAUCUCUUCAUAGUAAGUGUCCCAUGUAAUUUAGAUGGAAAUUGUUCUCUAGGAAUUCUUGUGGGACUUUCAGUUAUAAGAAAAAUACAUCAGGUUUUUCAUACCAGCAAUAACUUGCUUAAGCAUAGGGACUUUCUUACCUUAUUAUCCCUAACAUUAUUUCCAGCACAAAGUUUGUGUCAAUAAGUAUUUGUAGAAGUAUCAUGGAAAAUAUUUCUUGAAGGUGGCCACUGACUGUGCAGGAAGUGGGGAAAAAUAAUGUUGGUAACAUGGAGGCAAAACUGUCAAAUAAAGCCCAAUGUUCAGUGUGUGGUGCUAAGUAAUGGUAAAGAAAAAAAAAGGUCUCUCUGCCUUGGACAGACCACAUGGUGAGUAGAAUAGCCCGGAAACAUUUUCUUUUUGCAAAGACUAUUUUUCCCCCAAACUCCAUGGCAUAAUAGCACCAAAAGUAAUAACUAUCAGGCUUUCUUGAUCAUCUUCCAAGAUCAUUUAUGGCAGUCUCAGGCCAUAGAUAAUAAUUAAAGCCACCUGGUCCUUGGUUUUCUCAUCUGCAAAAUAGGGCAUGGACACUUGCCAGCUGCCUGUGUUAAUGCAAGUUUGUCAGAGUGGCUAGAGGCCAUCUGUCUAGUACCAGAGGGAGUUCAGGAAUGGUCAUAAAGAGAGUUGGGCACCUUCCAGCCUGCCGUGGAGGCCAGGCUGUCACACACAAUAAAGCCCUGGCUUCUGAACACUGGCACUCAUCCAGGCGCCACUUGGGUUGAUGCAAUCUCUAUUUGAUCAGAUGAAUAUGAUUUCCUUUUCAUUGUGCCUAGUCACAAUGUCUAAUUAUUGAAGGCACAAUAAAGCUAAAAUUCCAAUGAUUAGGCCUAUUCCUAGAUAAGAACCUGCCAUCCAGCAGUCAGCCAUAUUUGCAGAUGAUGUCUGAGAACUUGGGAUGAGAGGUGGUUUGGAUCUUCCUGUUUCUUCAGAAUCAGAAUCAGAAGAUUUCAUUUUCAUAAUAAUGGGUAG